This 1468-nucleotide ribosomal RNA is filed under the name metagenome. Its description in RNAcentral is "bacterial SSU rRNA". It matches the Rfam family "Bacterial small subunit ribosomal RNA". The record is from RNAcentral.
AGAGUUUGAUCAUGGCUCAGGACGAACGCUGGCGGCGCGCCUAACACAUGCAAGUCGAACGAGUGAGAGAGAGCUUGCUUUCUCGAGCGAGUGGCGAACGGGUGAGUAACGCGUGAGGAACCUGCCUCAAAGAGGGGGACAACAGUUGGAAACGACUGCUAAUACCGCAUAAGCCCACGGGUCGGCAUCGACCAGAGGGAAAAGGAGCAAUCCGCUUUGAGAUGGCCUCGCGUCCGAUUAGCUAGUUGGUGAGGUAACGGCCCACCAAGGCAACGAUCGGUAGCCGGACUGAGAGGUUGAACGGCCACAUUGGGACUGAGACACGGCCCAGACUCCUACGGGAGGCAGCAGUGGGGAAUAUUGCACAAUGGGGGAAACCCUGAUGCAGCGACGCCGCGUGGAGGAAGAAGGUCUUCGGAUUGUAAACUCCUGUUGUUGAGGAAGAUAAUGACGGUACUCAACAAGGAAGUGACGGCUAACUACGUGCCAGCAGCCGCGGUAAAACGUAGGUCACAAGCGUUGUCCGGAAUUACUGGGUGUAAAGGGAGCGCAGGCGGGAAGACAAGUUGGAAGUGAAAUCUAUGGGCUCAACCCAUAAACUGCUUUCAAAACUGUUUUUCUUGAGUAGUGCAGAGGUAGGCGGAAUUCCCGGUGUAGCGGUGGAAUGCGUAGAUAUCGGGAGGAACACCAGUGGCGAAGGCGGCCUACUGGGCACCAACUGACGCUGAGGCUCGAAAGUGUGGGUAGCAAACAGGAUUAGAUACCCUGGUAGUCCACACCGUAAACGAUGAUUACUAGGUGUUGGAGGAUUGACCCCUUCAGUGCCGCAGUUAACACAAUAAGUAAUCCACCUGGGGAGUACGACCGCAAGGUUGAAACUCAAAGGAAUUGACGGGGGCCCGCACAAGCAGUGGAGUAUGUGGUUUAAUUCGACGCAACGCGAAGAACCUUACCAAGUCUUGACAUCCCUUGACGAACAUAGAAAUAUGUUUUCUCUUCGGAGCAAGGAGACAGGUGGUGCAUGGUUGUCGUCAGCUCGUGUCGUGAGAUGUUGGGUUAAGUCCCGCAACGAGCGCAACCCUUACUGUCAGUUACUACGCAAGAGGACUCUGGCAGGACUGCCGUUGACAAAACGGAGGAGGGUGGGGAUGACGUCAAAUCAUCAUGCCCCUUAUGAGCAGGGCUACACACGUGCUACAAUGGCGUAAACAAAGGGAGGCAGAACCGCGAGGUCGAGCAAAUCCCAAAAAUAACGUCUCAGUUCGGAUUGUAGUCUGCAACUCGACUACAUGAAGCUGGAAUCGCUAGUAAUCGCGAAUCAGAAUGUCGCGGUGAAUACGUUCCCGGGUCUUGUACACACCGCCCGUCACACCAUGGGAGUCAGUAACGCCCGAAGUCAGUGACCCAACCGUAAGGAGGGAGCUGCCGAAGGUGGGACCGAUAACUGGGGUGAAGUCGUAACAAGGUA